RNAcentral lists this unclassified non-coding RNA (344 nucleotides) under soil metagenome. RNAcentral's name for it is "partial contains 5.8S ribosomal RNA, internal transcribed spacer 2, and large subunit ribosomal RNA". The stretch from base 1 to 120 matches the Rfam family "5.8S ribosomal RNA", at positions 35 to 154 of the family's 154-position model. The record is from RNAcentral.
GAUGAAGAACGCAGCGAAAUGCGAUAAGUAAUGUGAAUUGCAGAAUUCAGUGAAUCAUCGAAUCUUUGAACGCACAUUGCGCCCGCCAGAAUUCUGGCGGGCAUGCCUGUUCGAGCGUCAUUUCAACCCUCGGUCUCCCUCCGGGAGAGACCGGCGUUGGGGACCGGCACUUACCCCGCCGGCCCCGAAAUGAAGUGGCGGCCCGUCCGCGGCGACCUCUGCGUAGUAACUCCACUCGCACCGGGACCCGGGCGCGGCCACGCCGUAAAACCCCCAACUUCCGAAUGUUGACCUCGAAUCAGGUAGGAAUACCCGCUGAACUUAAGCAUAUCAAUAAGCGGAGA